This 798-nucleotide ribosomal RNA is filed under the name Thymalus marginicollis. RNAcentral's name for it is "SSU rRNA". It matches the Rfam family "Eukaryotic small subunit ribosomal RNA", at positions 135 to 876 of the family's 1831-position model. The record is from RNAcentral. Lineage: Eukaryota; Metazoa; Arthropoda; Insecta; Coleoptera; Thymalidae.
UUACUUGGAUAACUGUGGUAAUUCUAGAGCUAAUACAUGCAAACAGAGCUCCGACCGGAGACGGAAGGAGCGCUUUUAUUAGAUCAAAACCAAUCGGUGUCGGGUUCGCUCGGCAUCGUACAACUUGGUGACUCUGAAUAACUUUAAGCUGAUCGCACGGUCUCGCACCGGCGACGCAUCUUUCAAAUGUCUGCCUUAUCAACUGUCGAUGGUAGGUUCUGCGCCUACCAUGGUUGUAACGGGUAACGGGGAAUCAGGGUUCGAUUCCGGAGAGGGAGCCUGAGAAACGGCUACCACAUCCAAGGAAGGCAGCAGGCGCGCAAAUUACCCACUCCCGGCACGGGGAGGUAGUGACGAAAAAUAACGAUACGGGACUCAUCCGAGGCCCCGUAAUCGGAAUGAGUACACUCUAAACCCUUUAACGAGGAUCAAUUGGAGGGCAAGUCUGGUGCCAGCAGCCGCGGUAAUUCCAGCUCCAAUAGCGUAUAUUAAAGUUGUUGCGGUUAAAAAGCUCGUAGUCGAACCUGUGUCCCGCGCCGCCGGUUCAUCGUCCGCGGUGUUAACUGGCGUGUCGCGGGACGUCCUGCCGGUGGGCUUAGCUCGCAAGGGCGGCCCAACUCAAUCCUGCCGCGGUGCUCUUCAUUGAGUGUCGAGGUGGGCCGGCACGUUUACUUUGAACAAAUUAGAGUGCUUAAAGCAGGCUAAAAUUUCGCCUGAAUACUGUGUGCAUGGAAUAAUGGAAUAGGACCUCGGUUCUAUUUUGUUGGUUUUCGGAACCCCGAGGUAAUGAUUAAUAGG